AUACGUAGGGGGCGAGCGUUGUCCGGAAUGAUUGGGCGUAAAGGGCGCGUAGGCGGCGCGGUAAGUCUGGAGUGAAAGUCCUGCUUUCGAGGUGGGAAUUGCUUUGGAUACUGCCGCGCUUGAGUGCAGGAGAGGUUAUCGGAAUUCCCGGUGUAGCGGUGAAAUGCGUAGAGAUCGGGAGGAACACCAGUGGCGAAGGCGGGUAACUGGACUGCAACUGACGCUGAGGCGCGAAAGUGUGGGGAGCAAACAGGAUUAGAUACCCUGGUAGUCCACACUGUAAACGAUGAAUGCUAGGUGUAAGAGGUAUCGACCCCUUUUGUGCCGGAGUCAACACAAUAAGCAUUCCGCCUGGGGAGUACGGCCGCAAGGUUGAAACUCAAAGGAAUUGACGGGG
This 397-nucleotide ribosomal RNA is filed under the name uncultured bacterium. RNAcentral's name for it is "partial 16S ribosomal RNA". It matches the Rfam family "Bacterial small subunit ribosomal RNA", at positions 523 to 918 of the family's 1533-position model. The record is from RNAcentral.